ACGAACGCUGGCGGCGUGCUUAACCCCUGCCAGUCGAACGGAAAGGCCCUGCUUUUGUGGGGCGCUCGAGUGGCGAACGGGUGAGUAACACGUGAGUAACCUGCCCUUGACUUUGGGAUAACUUCAGGAAACUGGGGCUAAUACCGGAUAGGAGCUCCUGCUGCAUGGUGGGGGUUGGAAAGUUUCGGCGGUUGGGGAUGGACUCGCGGCUUAUCAGCUUGUUGGUGGGGUAGUGGCUUACCAAGGCUUUGACGGGUAGCCGGCCUGAGAGGGUGACCGGCCACAUUGGGACUGAGAUACGGCCCAGACUCCUACGGGAGGCAGCAGUGGGGAAUAUUGCACAAUGGGCGGAAGCCUGAUGCAGCAACGCCGCGUGCGGGAUGACGGCCUUCGGGUUGUAAACCGCUUUCGCCUGUGACGAAGCGUGAGUGACGGUAAUGGGUAAAGAAGCACCGGCUAACUACGUG
This 467-nucleotide ribosomal RNA is filed under the name uncultured bacterium. Its description in RNAcentral is "partial 16S ribosomal RNA". It matches the Rfam family "Bacterial small subunit ribosomal RNA", at positions 29 to 507 of the family's 1533-position model. The record is from RNAcentral.